This 465-nucleotide ribosomal RNA is filed under the name Vreelandella stevensii. Its description in RNAcentral is "partial 16S ribosomal RNA". It matches the Rfam family "Bacterial small subunit ribosomal RNA", at positions 338 to 795 of the family's 1533-position model. Lineage: Bacteria; Pseudomonadati; Pseudomonadota; Gammaproteobacteria; Oceanospirillales; Halomonadaceae. The record is from RNAcentral.
CCUACGGGUGGCAGCAGUGGGGAAUAUUGGACAAUGGGCGAAAGCCUGAUCCAGCCAUGCCGCGUGUGUGAAGAAGGCCUUCGGGUUGUAAAGCACUUUCAGUGGGGAAGAAAGCCUUGGGGCUAAUACCCUCGAGGAAGGACAUCACCCACAGAAGAAGCACCGGCUAACUCCGUGCCAGCAGCCGCGGUAAUACGGAGGGUGCGAGCGUUAAUCGGAAUUACUGGGCGUAAAGCGCGCGUAGGCGGUCUGAUAAGCCGGUUGUGAAAGCCCCGGGCUCAACCUGGGAACGGCAUCCGGAACUGUCAGGCUAGAGUGCAGGAGAGGAAGGUAGAAUUCCCGGGGUAGCGGUGAAAUGCGUAGAGAUCGGGAGGAAUACCAGUGGCGAAGGCGGCCUUCUGGACUGACACUGACGCUGAGGUGCGAAAGCGUGGGUAGCAAACAGGAUUAGAUACCCCAGUAGUC